UAUAACAAAGUACACUGUGGUUUGUGCAUGGAUUAAACAAUUCGACAUUUUGGACGUAAUCUGGAAUUACAUUGCUGCUUUAGGUGGUGUUUUGAUGCUCAGAAGAUCACGGACUACUCAUUCUCUGCAUGGCUCACAGAGAGGCUUAUUUGAAUUCUGGGCUGUUUCUAUAACAUGCAUGUAUUUCAUUUGCCAUGGCAAACAAGGGCUCUAAAACCAGAAGUAUGUGCAACCAUUGGCUGGACAUGAUGAAUUUUACAAGGAAUACGUCUGAAGAAACUCUAUCUCUGAAGUAUCUGUUGAAGCAAACAGCCUCAUGUGUCUCCUAUUAUCCAAUGGAAGAACUGGAGGAACAGAGAUGUGAAGCUGUCCGCUCAGAGUUAUAUAGGAGGCCAGUGACAAAUCCAGGAAUCCAAGCCAAAGCUCCUAAGUUGCAUUCUAAUUCUCUAAUCAGCACAGAAUUUGCCUUCUGGCAUUGUGAUGAGAUGAUGCGUGCAGGCUCUGACUGAGAAAAUGGGGCUUCCCAGCAAGAAUACAGUGGUUGGAGGUUCAACAGUGUUGGGAGUCUGGAAAAAGAUGAACCCCCAGGCACAGCAGCAGUGGUUGUGUGAGAUGAGAAACAAACAUUCUCCUCGCAUCACUCAUGCCAGCAGUCUGAGCAGGAGGAAGGUACAGGAACACUCCUACAGAGAACCAGGACUGGUUUGUCUCUUUAGAAGGGAGCAAUGGUAUUUUGAACAUUUUUACCAAAUCCCAGAGUGUGCAACAGCAUUUUAUGGACUGGGAAUUAUAUAACCGAAAAACUGUGAGAUGGGAAAGAAUUAUAGGAAGCCAUGGAGAGCUGCAACCUAAGCAUCCUGAAAUCGGUGACCAAGCCCCAAGGAUGCCUCUUGUUACUGCAGCCACUUUCAAUGACUGCUGUUUUUUGUAUGAUUUACCAGCCCCAGUGAGCUCUCCAAGACAGAAUAGGGAAAGAUGGGCUUCAAGUUGAGCCAGGGAAGAUUUAGGUUGGAUAUCAGGAAACAUUUCUUUACAGAAAGGGUUGUUAAGCAAUGGAAUAGGCUUCCUGGGGAGGUGGUUGAGUCACCAUCCCUGGAUGUGUUUAAAAACCAUUUGGAUGCGGUGCUCAGGGACGUGAUGUAGUGGAGAGUUGUUAGAGUUAGGGUAGUAUGGUUACGUCAUGGUUGGACUCGAUGGUUUUGAACAUCUUUUUCAACCGGAGCAAUUCUAUGAUUCUAUGAUUCAGUGAUUUUGGUCCAGAAGAAGAUUCUGCAGUAGUGAACUGUUUGGCUUGUGGAAUGAGUUACAGAAUUCCUAUUUAAAAAACAAAGAAGAUGGUGUAAAUCUGCACCUGGGAGGCAGCGGAUGCUUUGAAAAAGGCAAUUCAAAAAAUAAUGGACUGGUAUCGAAACUCUGUGAUCGGCAGUUUAAGGUUUUCUAAGUCUUUAUGCUGAGACACGAAACAUGUAAUUAGAAUAAUAACUGUAAGCAGAGGGCGAUGCAACCAUUAUCUAGAUCAUGUGUUAAUACUGAAGAAAUUUAAAAAUUUACCCUCCUCCCCACGAAUUUUUAAGACCUAAUUUGACUGUUUGUUCUUUUCUUUUCUUUUUUUU
Molecule: long non-coding RNA, 1613 nt
Organism: Tympanuchus pallidicinctus (lesser prairie-chicken)
Lineage: Eukaryota; Metazoa; Chordata; Aves; Galliformes; Phasianidae
Exons: 5
Source: RefSeq, a predicted model, not a curated record